UUAGCCUUGUAUUAGAAUUUGACUUCGAAAGCAAGGAAACUUACAACAAAGAGUCCCUCCCGACUGUUUACCAAAAACACAGCACUCUGCUAACACGUAAGUGGAUGUAUAGGGUGUGACGCCUGCCCGGUGCUCGAAGGUUAAUUGAUGGGGUCAGCAGCAAUGCGAAGCUCUUGAUCGAAGCCCGAGUAAACGGCGGCCGUAACUAUAACGGUCCUAAGGUAGCGAAAUUCCUUGUCGGUUAAAUACCGACCUGCAUGAAUGGCGUAACGAGAUGGGAGCUGUCUCAAAGAGGGAUCCAGUGAAAUUGUAGUGGAGGUGAAAAUUCCUCCUACCCGCGGCAAGACGGAAAGACCCCGUGGACCUUUACUACAGCUUGACACUGCUACUUGGAUAAGAAUGUGCAGGAUAGGUGGGAGGCUUUGAGUUAUAGACGCCAGUUUAUAAUGAGCCAUCGUUGAGAUACCACUCUUUCUUAUUCGGGUAGCUAACUAGCGUGAGUUAUCCUCACGUAGGACAAUGUCUGGUGGGUAGUUUGACUGGGGCGGUCGCCUCCCAAAAAAUAACGGAGGCUUACAAAGGUUGGUUCAAAACGGUUGGAAAUCGUUUGUAGAGUAUAAAGGCAUAAACCAGCUUAACUGCAAGACAAACACGUCAAGCAGAGACGAAAGUCGGUCUUAGUGAUCCGGUGGUUCUGUGUGGAAGGGCCAUCGCUCAAAGGAUAAAAGGUACCCCGGGGAUAACAGGCUGAUCUCCCCCAAGAGCUCACAUCGACGGGGAGGUUUGGCACCUCGAUGUCGGCUCAUCGCAUCCUGGGGCUGGAGCAGGUCCCAAGGGUAUGGCUGUUCGCCAUUUAAAGCGGUACGCGAGCUGGGUUCAGAACGUCGUGAGACAGUUCGGUCCCUAUCUGCCGUGGGCGUAAGAAGAUUGAAGAGAUUUGACCCUAGUACGAGAGGACCGGGUUGAACGAACCACUGGUGUAGCUGUUGUUCUGCCAAGAGCAUCGCAGCGUAGCUAAGUUCGGAUGUGAUAAGAGCUGAAAGCAUCUAAGCUCGAAGCCAACUCUAAGAUGAAUCUUCUCUUAAGGUCGCAGCAAGACUAGCUGCUUGAUAGGUUGGGUGUGUAAGUGGUGAAAGCCAUUUAGCUGACCAAUACUAAUAGACCGUCCGCUUACUUUAAAUAAGCAU
RNAcentral lists this ribosomal RNA (1187 nucleotides) under Campylobacter sp. RM9333. RNAcentral's name for it is "partial 23S ribosomal RNA". It matches the Rfam family "Bacterial large subunit ribosomal RNA", at positions 1735 to 2925 of the family's 2925-position model. Lineage: Bacteria; Pseudomonadati; Campylobacterota; Epsilonproteobacteria; Campylobacterales; Campylobacteraceae. The record is from RNAcentral.